GGUCGGAUGGCGCAAUGGUAGCGUGUGGUCCUCCUAAAGGGGAGAAUCAGACUGAGGUUGUGGGUUCGAGUCCCAUUCCGAUCG
This is a transfer RNA of 84 nucleotides. It matches the Rfam family "tRNA". From Rfam's summary of the family: Transfer RNA (tRNA) molecules are approximately 80 nucleotides in length. Their secondary structure includes four short double-helical elements and three loops (D, anti-codon, and T loops). Further hydrogen bonds mediate the characteristic L-shaped molecular structure. tRNAs have two regions of fundamental functional importance: the anti-codon, which is responsible for specific mRNA codon recognition, and the 3' end, to which the tRNAs corresponding amino acid is attached (by aminoacyl-tRNA synthetases). tRNAs cope with the degeneracy of the genetic code in two manners: having more than one tRNA (with a specific anti-codon) for a particular amino acid; and 'wobble' base-pairing, i.e. permitting non-standard base-pairing at the 3rd anti-codon position. The record is from Rfam.